Molecule: ribosomal RNA, 404 nt
Filed under: uncultured bacterium
Lineage: Bacteria
Description: partial 16S ribosomal RNA
Rfam family: Bacterial small subunit ribosomal RNA
Source: RNAcentral
GAUGAACGCUAGCUACAGGCUUAACACAUGCAAGUUGAGGGACCGGCGCACGGGUGAGUAACACGUAUCCAACCUGCCCUUUACUCAGGGAUAGCCUUUCGAAAGACAGAUUAAUACCCGAUAUAAAGGAUGGGGAUGCGUUCCAUUAGGUUGUUGGUGAGGUAACGGCUCAACAAGCCUUCGCUGGAUAGGGGAUCGGAGAGGAAAGAACCCCUCACUGGAACUGACACGGUCCAAACACCAACGGGAGUGAGCGGUGAGGAAUAUUGGUCAAUGGGCGCGAGCCUGAACCAGCCAAGUAGCGUGAAGGAUGAAGGCUUAUGGGUCGUAAACUUCUUUUUUAAAAGAAUAGGUAUUAUAUGAAUAAGGAUCGGCUAACUCCGUGCCAGCAGCCGCGGUAAUUC